AGAGUUUGAUCCUGGCUCAGGAUGAACGCUGGCGGCGUGCUUAACACAUGCAAGUCGAACGGGGUACCCUUGACAGAGGCUUCGGCCAAUUGAUAGGAAUACCUAGUGGCGGACGGGUGAGUAACGCGUGAGGAACCUGCCUUGGAGUGGGGAAUAACAGUUAGAAAUAGCUGCUAAUACCGCAUAAUGCAACUAAGUCGCAUGGCUUUGGUUGCCAAAGAUUUAUCGCUCUAAGAUGGCCUCGCGUCUGAUUAGAUAGUUGGCGGGGUAACGGCCCACCAAGUCGACGAUCAGUAGCCGGACUGAGAGGUUGGCCGGCCACAUUGGGACUGAGACACGGCCCAGACUCCUACGGGAGGCAGCAGUGGGGAAUAUUGGGCAAUGGGCGCAAGCCUGACCCAGCAACGCCGCGUGAAGGAAGAAGGCCCUCGGGUUGUAAACUUCUUUUAUUCGGGACGAAACAAAUGACGGUACCGAAUGAAUAAGCCACGGCUAACUACGUG
RNAcentral lists this ribosomal RNA (503 nucleotides) under uncultured Oscillospiraceae bacterium. RNAcentral's name for it is "bacterial SSU rRNA". It matches the Rfam family "Bacterial small subunit ribosomal RNA", at positions 8 to 507 of the family's 1533-position model. The record is from RNAcentral. Lineage: Bacteria; Bacillati; Bacillota; Clostridia; Eubacteriales; Oscillospiraceae.